This 487-nucleotide ribosomal RNA is filed under the name uncultured bacterium. Its description in RNAcentral is "partial 16S ribosomal RNA". It matches the Rfam family "Bacterial small subunit ribosomal RNA", at positions 29 to 523 of the family's 1533-position model. The record is from RNAcentral.
AUUGAACGCUGGCGGCAUGCCUUACACAUGCAAGUCGAACGGUAACAGGUCUUCGGAUGCUGACGAGUGGCGAACGGGUGAGUAAUGCAUCGGAACGUGCCCAGUUGUGGGGGAUAACUGCUCGAAAGAGCAGCUAAUACCGCAUACGACCUGAGGGUGAAAGCGGGGGAUCGCAAGACCUCGCGCAAUUGGAUCGGCCGAUGUCAGAUUAGGUAGUUGGUGGGGUAAAGGCCAACCAAGACGACGAUCUGUAGUUGGUCUGAAAGGACGACCAACCACAAUGGGACUGAGACACGGCCCAGACUCCUACGGGAGGCAGCAGUGGGGAAUUUUGGACAAUGGGCGCAAGCCUGAUCCAGCAAUGCCGCGUGCAGGACGAAGGCCUUCGGGUUGUAAACCACUGUCGGGAGGGACGAAUGCCCCGCAAGGGGAGUGACGGUACCUCCAAAGGAAGCACCGGCUAACUCCGUGCCAGCAGCCGCAGUAA